CUACGGGACGCACCAGUGAGGAAUAUUGCACAAUGGGGGGAACCCUGAUGCAGCAACGCCGCGUGGAGGAUGACGCAUUUCGGUGUGUAAACUCCUUUUAUAUGUCAAGAAAAUGACGGUAGCAUAUGAAUAAGCACCGGCUAACUCCGUGCCAGCAGCCGCGGUAAUACGGAGGGUGCAAGCGUUACUCGGAAUCACUGGGCGUAAAGGACGCGUAGGCGGGUUGGAAAGUCAGGUGUGAAAUCCUACAGCUUAACGGUAGAACUGCACUUGAAACUUCUAAUCUAGAGUAUGGGAGGGGGAGAUGGAAUUAGUGGUGUAGGGGUAAAAUCCGUAGAUAUCACUAGGAAUACCUAAAGCGAAGGCGAUCUCCUGGAACAUUACUGACGCUAAGGCGUGAAAGCGUGGAGAGCAAACAGGAUUAGAUACCCCCGUAGUC
RNAcentral lists this ribosomal RNA (439 nucleotides) under uncultured bacterium. RNAcentral's name for it is "partial 16S ribosomal RNA". It matches the Rfam family "Bacterial small subunit ribosomal RNA", at positions 339 to 795 of the family's 1533-position model. The record is from RNAcentral.